RNAcentral lists this ribosomal RNA (737 nucleotides) under Acantharia sp. Pec5. Its description in RNAcentral is "eukaryotic LSU rRNA". It matches the Rfam family "Eukaryotic large subunit ribosomal RNA", at positions 64 to 809 of the family's 3401-position model. Lineage: Eukaryota; Acantharea. The record is from RNAcentral.
AAUAACUAUGAUUCCCUUAGUAGUGGCGAAUGAACCGGGAAUAGUUCAAGCCUUUAAUCCUUCUCUUUUGAGACAGGAGUUGUGGUCUACCCUAGCGUUACCUGAGUCGUCAUCCCGACCAGAUCUUGUUGAAAUAUAGUGUCAUAGAGGGUUAUAACCCCGUCCGUUGGGAUAGUGUACUCUUCCGGUGCGCUAAGUGUGAGUCGUGUUACUUGGGACUGUAGCACUAAUUGGGUGGUAAUAUCCAUCUAAAACUAAAUAUUACUUUGAGACCGAUAGCGAACAAGUACCGUGAGGGAAAGAUGAAAAGGAAUUUGAAAAGAAUGUGAAAAGUACGUGAAAUCGUUGUGUGAAAGCGAAUAGCAUACCCUUGACGUGUACCUUACUCCUGUUACGUUGAUUUCUCAUGCUUCGGCUUGAUUUUUCUGCUUUCUGGUGUUUGGUAGAGGUUUGAUCGUCCUUUUUCGUUGGUAGUCGUGUUGUUGAUUCCUUGAACUGCCGCUACUGUGGUACUCUUGGCUUUGGCCGCCUUCUGUCUUCGUUUGGUCAUCUUGACGUCAUUAUGGUGUUGUUAUCCGACCCGUCUUGAAACACGGACCAAGGAGUCUAACAUGUGUGCGAGUAUUUGAGUUGUAAACUCUUCUGCGCAGAGAAAUCGAUUGACUGAUAACACUUGAGUGUUCCUCAGCGGCUGUUCUGAUUCUUCGGAUGACGACUACUCGCUUGAGCAUAUAUGU